This 252-nucleotide ribosomal RNA is filed under the name uncultured bacterium. RNAcentral describes it as "partial 16S ribosomal RNA". It matches the Rfam family "Bacterial small subunit ribosomal RNA", at positions 100 to 354 of the family's 1533-position model. The record is from RNAcentral.
CGGGGUGAGUAACGCGUGGGUAACCUGCCUCAUACAGGGGGAUAACAGUUAGAAAUGACUGCUAAAACCGCAUAAGCGCACAUUGUCGAGUGACAGAGUGUGAAAAACUCCGGUGGUAUGAGAUGGACCCGCGUCUGAUUAGCUAGUUGGUGAGGUAACGGCCCACCAAGGCGACGAUCAGUAGCCGGCCUGAGAGGGCGACCGGCCACAUUGGGACUGAGACACGGCCCAAACUCCUACGGAAGGCAGCAG